CUCAGCUUGUCGAUGGUACAGUCGUUCCGGCUGGCGCACAGGUGGUUCUGCUUUCCUGGAGGCACACAAAAAAAAAAAAAAAAAAAAAAGAAUCCACAUUGCCUCGGCCUUUUACUCAUAGCAACGCCACGUGGGUGUUUACUGAUAACAAACUGCUCGGCCUUAUAAUGUCAGGUCGGUGUGCCCUGACGGCAUUAGAGAGUAGGUGGRUGUAUAAAAUUAAAUCAGGGGAUGCAUGCUGUAAUUUUGAUGUACACUCAGGGAUGCUUGAGUGUGUGUGUGUGCGUGCGUGUGUGUGCGUGUGUGUGUGUGUCUGUGUGUGUGUGUGUGUGUGUGUGUGUGUGUGUGUGUAAUCAGACUGUCCGGGACAUCAGGGGGGGGAACAAAGGGCGAGAAAGAUACAAGUUUCCAACUACUGGGUGGAACUUGAGACGUGCUUUCAGGGGGCAGUUUGUUAUUUUCAAAAAAAAAAAAAAAAAAAAAAAAA
This is a non-coding RNA of Poecilia reticulata (guppy), 487 nucleotides long. The record is from RefSeq and is a predicted model, not a curated record. NCBI's taxonomy places the organism in Eukaryota, Metazoa, Chordata, Actinopteri, Cyprinodontiformes, Poeciliidae.